CUCCGCCAUCCCUUAAGCCGGGACUCCCGGAGGUGAGUCUCCCCUCCGUCCGGGGAAGCCGGGCCGUGUUGCCCGGCGGCGGCGGCGGCGGCGGCAGCAGCACCGCUCCGAGAAACUGCUCUGUGAUGCCCUGCCACCCGCCCCCGUCGGCGCCCAUGUUCCGAUGAGGGAGAAUCCUCAAAACCUCCAAGGAUUGCUGAGGAAUGAAGAAUCAAGGUUCAUUCCAGAGGUGUCAAUGAAGAUACUGCAAAAUCUGAGGACCCGUCCUGGGCCCAGCAUGGAAGUACAAUUAUGAAGAAAGCACAGCAACACUUCUACUUCCUUAGAAGUUUGAGAAGAUUUAGCAUGACAUCUAAUAUGUUGAAGAACUUCUAUAGAGGCAGAGUCUAGAUUGAAGCACAAGGAGACGGUUGGGGCUAUCCAGCUAGGUUGCCA
This is a long non-coding RNA of Mobula hypostoma (lesser devil ray), 435 nucleotides long. RefSeq lists it as uncharacterized. NCBI's taxonomy places the organism in Eukaryota, Metazoa, Chordata, Chondrichthyes, Myliobatiformes, Myliobatidae. The record is from RefSeq and is a predicted model, not a curated record. The transcript is spliced from 4 exons.